RNAcentral lists this ribosomal RNA (497 nucleotides) under uncultured bacterium. Its description in RNAcentral is "partial 16S ribosomal RNA". It matches the Rfam family "Bacterial small subunit ribosomal RNA", at positions 28 to 507 of the family's 1533-position model. The record is from RNAcentral.
GAUGAACGCUGGCGGCGUGCCUAAUACAUGCAAGUCGAGCGCACGGACGAGAAGCUUGCUUCUCUGAUGUUAGCGGCGGACGGGUGAGUAACACGUGGAUAACCUACCUAUAAGCCUGGGAUAACUUCGGGAAACCGGUGCUAAUACCGGAUGAUAUCUUGAACCACAUGGUUCAAGAGUGAAAGACGCUCUUGCUGUACCUUAUAGAUGGAUCCGCGCUGCAUUAGCUAGUUGGUAAGGUAACGGCGUACCAAGGCAACGAUGCAUAGCCGACCGGAGAGGGGGAUCGGCCACACGGGAACGGAGACACGGUCCAGACUCCUACGGGAGGCAGCAGAAGGGAAUCUUCCGAAAUGGGCGAAAGCCGGACGGAGCAACGCCGCGUGAGGGAUGAAGGUCUUCGGAUCUUAAAACUCUGUUAUUAGGGAAGAACAUAUGUGUAAGUAACUGUGCACAUCGUGACGGUACCUAAUCAGAAAGCCACGGCUAACUACGUG